CAAAGACCCUCUUGACAAAACAAAUGCUGAAUCUCCAGCACUACCACCAGGACCAACACCAAAACCAGCCUCAGCACCAGAACUAGAACCAGAAUCAGCACCAACACCAGCACCUUCAGCUGAACAAGAAAUUGGGUCAACAAUACCAUCUGGGCCAGCACCUGAGCCUGAAUUUUUUGACAGUGGAGAGGGUUAUGGCCUCUAUGGUAGAGGCUCUUAUAGCCAAUACCCUCCCACCAAGGAGACUCCUACCACCACCACGACCUUUCAAAAUGAGCUUCUCAAUGAAGACUUCAAUGAUGAGAGCUACAAAACUGGCUACCCCAAAACCAAUCUCUACAACAACAACAAUGAGGA
This 357-nucleotide long non-coding RNA is filed under the name Glycine max (soybean). RNAcentral's name for it is "long non-coding RNA (GMAX_LNC003027)". Lineage: Eukaryota; Viridiplantae; Streptophyta; Magnoliopsida; Fabales; Fabaceae. The record is from RNAcentral.